RNAcentral lists this ribosomal RNA (391 nucleotides) under Actinocyclus sp. (in: diatoms). RNAcentral describes it as "Actinocyclus sp. (in: Bacillariophyta) partial small subunit ribosomal RNA". It matches the Rfam family "Eukaryotic small subunit ribosomal RNA", at positions 582 to 975 of the family's 1831-position model. Lineage: Eukaryota; Bacillariophyta; Coscinodiscophyceae; Coscinodiscales; Hemidiscaceae. The record is from RNAcentral.
AUUCCAGCUCCAAUAGCGUAUAUUAAAGUUGUUGCAGUUAAAAAGCUCGUAGUUGGAUUUCUGGUAGAAGUAGCGACCUUGGGUCUUUGACCUAUGAAGUUGCUAUCUUCAACCAUCCUUGAAGAGAUUUAGUUUGGCAUUAAGUUGUCGAACUAAAGAUAUUCAUCUUUUACUGUGAAAAAAUCAGAACGUUCAAAGUAAGCAUUUAGCUUUGAAUGUAUUAGCAUGGAAUAAUGAAAUAGGACUUAGGUACUACUUUGUUGGUUUAUGCACCUAGGUAAUGAUUAAUAGGGAUAGUUGGGGGUAUUCGUAUUCCAAUGUUAGAGGUGAAAUUCUUGGAUUUUUGGAAGACGAACAACUGCGAAAGCAUUUACCAAGGAUGUUUUCAUCG